Molecule: ribosomal RNA, 433 nt
Filed under: uncultured bacterium
Lineage: Bacteria
Description: partial 16S ribosomal RNA
Rfam family: Bacterial small subunit ribosomal RNA
Source: RNAcentral
AGCGAACGCUGGCGGCAGGCUUAACACAUGCAAGUCGAGCGGGCAGUUCGGUCUCAGCGGCAGAGGGCUGAGUAAGACGUGGGAACGUACCCGUUGGUUCGCUAUAACGGACGGUGACUAGCGCUAAUACCGGAUACGCUCAUUCGGGGAAAGGCGUGCUGCCGAAGGCUCGGCGUGCGUCUGAUUCGCCAGUUGGUGGGGUAAUGGCCUACCAAGGCCACGAUCAGUAGCUGGUCUGUUAGCAUGAUCAGCCAGACUGGGCAUGCGACACGGCCCAGACCCGUACGGAAGGGAGGAGUGGGGAGUACUGGACGAUGGGCGCAAGUCUAAUACAGCCGUGCCGCGGAAGUGAUGAAGGCCGUAGGAUUGUAAAGCUCUUUUGUACGAGACGAGAGUGACGGUACCGGAAGAAUAAGCCCCGGCUAACUUCGUG